UACGUAGGGUGCGAGCGUUGUCCGGAAUUAUUGGGCGUAAAGGGCUCGUAGGCGGUUUGUCACGUCGGGAGUGAAAACUCGGGGCUCAACCCCGAGCCUGCUUCCGAUACGGGCAGACUAGAGGUAUGCAGGGGAGAAUGGAAUUCCUGGUGUAGCGGUGAAAUGCGCAGAUAUCAGGAGGAACACCGGUGGCGAAGGCGGUUCUCUGGGCAUUUCCUGACGCUGAGGCACGAAAGCCAGGGGAGCAAACGGG
RNAcentral lists this ribosomal RNA (253 nucleotides) under uncultured bacterium. Its description in RNAcentral is "partial 16S ribosomal RNA". It matches the Rfam family "Bacterial small subunit ribosomal RNA", at positions 524 to 776 of the family's 1533-position model. The record is from RNAcentral.